GUGUCAGCAGCCGCGGUAAUACAGAGGCCUCAAGCGUUAGGCGGAAUCACUGGGCUUAAAGCGUGUGUAGGCGGGUCGUUAAGUACCUUGUGAAAUCCCACGGCUUAACUGUGGAACGGCUUGGUAUACUGGCGAUCUUGAGCCACUUAGGGGCUACCGGAACAGAUGGUGGAGCGGUGAAAUGCGUAGAUAUCAUCUGGAACGCCAAUGGUGAAAACAGGUAGCUGGGAGUGUGCUGACGCUGAGACACGAAAGCCAGGGGAGCGAACGGGAUUAGAAACCCCUGUAGUCC
RNAcentral lists this ribosomal RNA (292 nucleotides) under uncultured bacterium. Its description in RNAcentral is "partial 16S ribosomal RNA". It matches the Rfam family "Bacterial small subunit ribosomal RNA", at positions 505 to 796 of the family's 1533-position model. The record is from RNAcentral.